Molecule: ribosomal RNA, 497 nt
Filed under: uncultured bacterium
Lineage: Bacteria
Description: partial 16S ribosomal RNA
Rfam family: Bacterial small subunit ribosomal RNA
Source: RNAcentral
GAUGAACGCUGGCGGCGUGCCUAAUACAUGCAAGUCGAGCGAACAGACGAGGAGCUUGCUCCUCUGACGUUAGCGGCGGACGGGUGAGUAACACGUGGAUAACCUACCUAUAAGACUGGGAUAACUUCGGGAAACCGGAGCUAAUACCGGAUAAUAUAUUGAACCGCAUGGUUCAAUAGUGAAAGACGGUUUUGCUGUCACUUAUAGAUGGAUCCGCGCCGCAUUAGCUAGUUGGUAAGGUAACGGCUUACCAAGGCAACGAUGCGUAGCCGACCUGGGAGGGUGAUCGGCCACACUGGAACUGAGACACGGUCCAGACUCCUACGGGAGGCAGCAGUAGGGAAUCUUCCGCAAUGGGCGAAAGCCUGACGGAGCAACGCCGCGUGAGUGAUGAAGGUCUUCGGAUCGUAAAACUCUGUCAUUAGGGAAGAACAAAUGUGUAAGUAACUAUGCACGUCUUGACGGUACCUAAUCAGAAAGCCACGGCUAACUACGUG